UCAAUUCCUUGAUCGUUUGGCUCCUCCUUU
RNAcentral lists this small RNA (30 nucleotides) under Bombyx mori (domestic silkworm). Its description in RNAcentral is "ovarian small RNA-24916". The record is from RNAcentral. Lineage: Eukaryota; Metazoa; Arthropoda; Insecta; Lepidoptera; Bombycidae.